AACAAAUUUAGCAGUAGUUUUUUUUAAAUGUAACACUAUGCAUUUGCUUAAAGUUGUAUUAUAUGGUAUUAUGAUUCUAUAUUAUAUUUGUAUUUGAGAAAAAAUAUUUUUAACUAAUAAAAAGUGAUGUUAAUAGCUGAACAGCCAUGUAAUAAUAACUCUUUGAAUACCAACACUUGUUUCCUCGACAUCAUAUACACUUCCAUGGAAAUAUUAAUUAAUUAAUUAAUCAAAUAAAGUGCUGGGACCCAGUUAGGUACUGAUAGUGAGGCAGACAGCUUUACUUGUGAAUCACAAGCAUAUUAAGCUGAAGUAAAACACAUGUGUGUGCGUGCAGGGUAAUGACAUGGAAGAAGAGGUCCGCAAUGAAUUAAUGGAAAUGAAACGGACUGUCACUAUUCAUCAUAAUGAAACGACUGGUUUGAUAUAAUAGUUCUGAUCAGGUAACUGAAGUUUUUGAGUUUAACCCCUCAAGCAAGGAAGUCCACCAUAAAUGAUCCUGUUUUUCAUUUCUUAGCAAAUGCAAUACAAAAAAACUGGCAACCAACCAACAAAAAUGACUACAAAAACACAUUAAAUGUUAAUAAUCAUGACUUUGCUCCCCCCCCCUCUUUUUUUUUUUUUUUUUUUUUUAACGAAAACGCUUAUUUGAAGGUAGGUAGGUAUUUGGGGAGGACAGGGGCCUGUUUACUACUAUGUUACAUCAUCCCUCCUUUUGACAACAUGCAGUAAGGCUCUGAGCUGCGGUGGCCAGUUGUGUUCUAGUUUUGAAAGUGAAAUCUUUUCCUAUUCUUCCUAUUUCAGUUUCUCAACAGUUCAAGGGCAUGCUUGUGUCAUAUCUUUUUGUUUCAUUAUGCAUCAAAUGAUCACAGUGGGUGACGGGUCUGGACUGCAGGCAGGCCAGCUGAGACUUGAAGUCUUUCACCACAGAGACAUGCUGCUGUUAUAUGUGGAGAAUGUAAUUUGGCAUUGCCUUGCUGAAAUAAGCAAACCUGUUGCUGAAAAUGGUGGAAUCGUUUGGCAAUAGUGAUUUAUCAUUAUGUCACUGCAUCCCAGUACCAGGUGGUAGCAAGCUGAAUGGGACCUCUCCACUUUGCGUGGGUUUGAGCUGUAGAAGGAAGCCAGAAUCACAGACGAGAGGAAAACAUGCAAAGUCCAGACAGAAAGACCCCAGCAAGAUGGAUUCAAACCCAGGACCUUCUUUGCUUUGAGGCAGUAAUUCCAAAUACAAUUAAUAUUGACAGUAGAUAUUGGAUAGCUUCCACUGCGCAGCUGUCAGUCUUCAGUGUAGUGCUGCCUCAGGAUAUGAAGCUGUGAAGAUUUUUAUUAUUAUUUAUUUAUUUAUUUGAGCGUUUUUGGCAUUCGCCUGCAGAGAUUUUUUUUUCAGAUUCUCUUAAUCCUUUAAUGAUAUUAUGUGCCACAGAUAAGGAAUUAUUUGCCAUUUUCCCAUUUCUACUUGAUAAUAUUACAGUCACAUUGUUGCAUUGUUCCUUACGCUGAAUUCACAGGCUGGUGAAGCACCCCCCCUCCUAGCUUUACUUCUAAAAGACUUGACGUCUGUAUGAUUUUUACACCCAGCCAUGUUUCUAAUUAACCUUGUUAGUUGUGAGAUAUUCCACCGGAUGUCAGAUUCUUUAUAAAAAACAAUGCAAUCCAUCAUUUUUACUUGUUUACACUCAUGUACAUAAGCUAUAAAAGUCUAAAUAUAAGAUCCUGCCAGUACAGCGUUUUGAAAUCAGUCUACAGAGCAUCACACCAGCUUAAGC
Long non-coding RNA from Astatotilapia calliptera (eastern happy), 1766 nucleotides. NCBI's taxonomy places the organism in Eukaryota, Metazoa, Chordata, Actinopteri, Cichliformes, Cichlidae. The record is from Ensembl.